GGUCAGUUUAGUUCUGGCUUCAAUUUUUUUAUAGGAAAAGUUAUUUAUAAAGGAAAAAUGAAAAUAAAAGGUUUAGAUAAUAAAAUUGGAAAGUUAAAUAAAAAGCUCCGGUUAUUUUUGAAAAUUUUAGCAAAUAUGGUGCCAGCGGCUGCGGUUAUACCAUAAAAGUAAAAAAAAUUUAGUUUUAAUUUUGAGACUUUAAAAUAAAAUUGGAUUGUUUUUAGAAAGGUAAAAUUUUGAAAGGCUGGAAAAUUUUGGGAGAUAGUUUGAGAAGUUCUAAAAUGAGACUAGGAUUAGAUACCCUAUUAUUAUUGAGAGCAAAUAAAUUAGGUAGUAGUAGAAGGCUUGAAACUUAAAGAAUUUGGCGGUGUUUUAAUCUAAUCAGAGGAACUUGUAUUUUAAUUCGAAAUUACUCGUUUAAUUUUACUUAGGUUUUGGUUUGUAUAUCGUCGUAAAAAUAAAGCUUUAAAGUAUAUAUUUUAGGUAGAAUUUCUUAAAAUUACAGAUCUAGGUUCAGCAAUACCUAAGCAUAAUGUGAGUUACAAUAUAUAAUUGAUAUAAUUACGGAAAAAAGGUUGGAAGACUUUUUAGAAGGUGGAUUUGAAAGUAGGUUGAGAUUAAAAAGUUUGAUUGAAUUAGCAAUAAGACAUGCACAUAUUGCCCGUCACUCUCUUUUUAUAAGAGAAAAGUCGUAACAUAGUAGAGGUAUUGGAAAAUGUCUCUAGAAGAUA
Molecule: non-coding RNA, 731 nt
Filed under: Mesobuthus eupeus (lesser Asian scorpion)
Lineage: Eukaryota; Metazoa; Arthropoda; Arachnida; Scorpiones; Buthidae
Source: RNAcentral